UACCGGCAGCUCGAGUGGUCGUCGCUUUUAUUGGGCCUAAAGCAUCCGUAGCCUGUUUUGUAAGUCUUCGGUUAAAUCCACAUGCUUAACAUGUGGGCUGCCGGAGAUACUGCAAAACUAGGGAGUGGGAGAGGUAGACGGUACUUGAUAGGAAGGGGUAAAAUCCUUUGAUCUAUUGAUGACCACCUGUGGCGAAGGCGGUCUACCAGAACACGUUCGACGGUGAGGGAUGAAAGCUGGGGGAGCAAACCGG
This 253-nucleotide ribosomal RNA is filed under the name uncultured archaeon. RNAcentral describes it as "partial 16S ribosomal RNA". It matches the Rfam family "Archaeal small subunit ribosomal RNA", at positions 474 to 727 of the family's 1478-position model. The record is from RNAcentral.